UACGAAGGGGGCUAGCGUUGCUCGGAAUUACUGGGCGUAAAGGGCGCGUAGGCGGGUCGUUAAGUUAGAGGUGAAAGCCCAGGGUUCAACCCUGGAAUUGCCUUUAAUACUGUCGACCUUGAGUAUGGCAGAGGUGUGUGGAACUCCGAGUGUAGAGGUGAAAUUCGUAGAUAUUCGGAAGAACACCAGUGGCGAAGGCGACACACUGGGCCAUUACUGACGCUGAGGCGCGAAAGCGUGGGGAGCAAACAGG
RNAcentral lists this ribosomal RNA (253 nucleotides) under uncultured bacterium. RNAcentral's name for it is "partial 16S ribosomal RNA". It matches the Rfam family "Bacterial small subunit ribosomal RNA", at positions 524 to 776 of the family's 1533-position model. The record is from RNAcentral.